Molecule: long non-coding RNA, 379 nt
Filed under: Homo sapiens (human)
Lineage: Eukaryota; Metazoa; Chordata; Mammalia; Primates; Hominidae
Description: non-protein coding lnc-NTF3-5:1
Source: RNAcentral
CAAGCACCAGCAGGAAUCAGAGAAUGGUGGCUUCCAUCCUCUGCGCACAGCAGCAAGGAAGGCAUGUUGUGUGCUUCCAGCUCAAGCCGGCUCUGUGUUUUAGGCCAACCAACACAAUUCAUAUAACAUCCUUGCACAUUUCCACCAUUUCCCGCCUCACCAUGCCUCAGAGGACUACAGGCUCCCCAAGACGGGACAUGGUUGGGCAGGUACCGGAUAGAUGCUGUCACUGCUGAAAAAGAAAAAAAUAUCCAAAGUAUUCACGUUGUACCUGCUGAGUGCCAGUACUGCAUGCUCUGGGGAUUCCAUUCCUGCCCCUAUGGAAGAGGGGUCAACUUUUCCAAAACAUCAUCUUCUAGAGGAAGAAGCUGAAGCCCAG